Molecule: non-coding RNA, 29 nt
Filed under: Homo sapiens (human)
Lineage: Eukaryota; Metazoa; Chordata; Mammalia; Primates; Hominidae
Source: RNAcentral
UGCCACGGUGACCCAAGAGGCAGGGUUGU